UACGUAGGUGGCAAGCGUUGUCCGGAAUCACUGGGCGUAAAGCGCGCGCAGGCGGCGAUCUACGUCUGGGGUGAAAGCCCGGGGCUCAACCUCGGGACUGCCUUGGAUACGGGAUCGCUUGAGAAUCGGAGAGGUAAGGGGAAUUCCACGUGUAGCGGUGAAAUGCGUAGAUAUGUGGAGGAACACCAGUGGCGAAGGCGCCUUACUGGCCGAUUUCUGACGCUGAGGCGCGAAAGCGUGGGGAGCAAAGCGG
Molecule: ribosomal RNA, 253 nt
Filed under: uncultured bacterium
Lineage: Bacteria
Description: partial 16S ribosomal RNA
Rfam family: Bacterial small subunit ribosomal RNA
Source: RNAcentral